AUGAUGGCGAGGCGAGAGCGAGAUGUGGAUUUUUUCUUCAAGUACUUGGAAGACGAGCAUGGCCAUCUGAAGGGACUGUUCUGGGCUGAUAGUCAAUCGCGACUUGACUACGAGGCUUUCGGAGACGUCAUUGUUUUCGAUAGCACAUACAGAACCAACAAAUACAAUCUGCCAUUCAUGCCGUUUGUGGGGUUGAAUCACCAUCGCAGCACUGUUAUUUUUGGCUGUGGUAUAAUUUCUCAUGAAACAAGCCAGGCAUACGAGUGGAUGUUGCGGACCUUUUCUGAUUGCAUGGCACAGAAGCAUCCGAUAUCUGUGAUCACAGAUGGGGACCUUGCAAUGCAAAGAGCAAUCAGGGUGGUCUGGCCAGACUCAAACCAUAGACUAUGUAUAUGGCACAUUCAGCAGAACAUUGUAUGCCAUCUGCAUGAUGAUGACGUAAAGGAGGAAUUCAGAUCUUUCAUUUAUGAUACUUCUUUCAUUGAAGAGCAUGAGAUAAAAUGGAUACAAUUCUUACAACGAAUAAAGUAA
RNAcentral lists this ribosomal RNA (531 nucleotides) under Triticum aestivum (bread wheat). RNAcentral's name for it is "partial small subunit ribosomal RNA". The record is from RNAcentral. Lineage: Eukaryota; Viridiplantae; Streptophyta; Magnoliopsida; Poales; Poaceae.